GCUGUGAGGCAUGCUGGAGGUAUCAGAAGUGCGAAUGCUGACAUAAGUAACGAUAAAGCGGGUGAAAAGCCCGCUCGCCGGAAGACCAAGGGUUCCUGUCCAACGUUAAUCGGGGCAGGGUGAGUCGACCCCUAAGGCGAGGCCGAAAGGCGUAGUCGAUGGGAAACAGGUUAAUAUUCCUGUACUUGGUGUUACUGCGAAGGGGGGACGGAGAAGGCUAUGUCAGCCGGGCGACGGUUGUCCCGGUUUAAGCGUGUAGGUGUGUGUUCCAGGCAAAUCCGGUUCACUUUAACACUGAGGCGUGAUGACGAGGCACUACGGUGCUGAAGUGAUAAAUGCCCUGCUUCCAGGAAAA
Molecule: ribosomal RNA, 355 nt
Filed under: Enterobacter bugandensis
Lineage: Bacteria; Pseudomonadati; Pseudomonadota; Gammaproteobacteria; Enterobacterales; Enterobacteriaceae
Description: partial 23S ribosomal RNA
Rfam family: Bacterial large subunit ribosomal RNA
Source: RNAcentral